This is a non-coding RNA of Meleagris gallopavo (turkey), 1245 nucleotides long. The record is from RefSeq and is a predicted model, not a curated record. Lineage: Eukaryota; Metazoa; Chordata; Aves; Galliformes; Phasianidae.
UUGAUUUAAUAUCAAAGGAAGCAUUUUGGAAGCCUCAGUAUUGUCACAUAGUCAACGCAAUCCUAUCUCAGUUCUCAGAUUGUGACAGAUUCCUCAUGAAGUCUUCACAAAGCCAUCACGAGCUUAUGAAGGAGUUGUGCUGGAAUCAGCACCAAGAAUUCAUGGAUCUGUUGUUAUAUCAUUAUGGAGUCAUCACCAAGUGAUCUCAGAGUUGCCAUGGAGCUGUCAUCAAGACACUGAGUCAUCACUGAGACAUGGAAUCAAGAGGGGAUUAUCACAGAGUAGUCACGGUAUCACCUCAGUUGUCACAGAAUGAUUUAAGAAUCAUGACAUUGUCAUACACAUUUUGUCUGCAGUUCACCAACAAGCCAUCACAAGAUGAUCCUCAAGACAUCUUAGAGUCCUAGAGUCAUUGGGGAGUCCUUAGGGAGAUAGCACAUGCUGUUAGCUGAUCUUCAGGAAGAUCUUGCACUUACUGAGGAUCUGUAUUAGCAAGGCAUCUUGAUAUCAAGAUGUAAGGGAUAUCAAUGCAGAUAUAGUCUCAAGAGCUGUCACUACUGAGGGAAAGGUCCUGCCAUGCAGCUCACUGCAGUACUGGAGAUCCUGAAGGGUCUUUUGGGCUGCUCACUAUUUAUGGGAUGACAGAUGGUUUUCUUGGCACAUACUCAACUGGCCCUCAGCUGUUGAACCAGGUGUCUGCUAUCAGUUAUUUCAGCCCCCACUUUGAGACAGAUUUGUAGUUGUUAAUCUGUUUUAUUGAAAGUUAUCAACCCUGUAUAAAGUCUUGUUUGCAAGACCAGGUUGAAGGAGGGAGUUGGGGUAAGGAAAGAGGGCAAUGAGAGGGGUGGGGGAGCAUGCUGUCACAAUGAGCCAAUUGUGUGAGUGCAUGCUAGAAUGCUAGGUGAUAAUGGAAUGAUGUGGAAGGGAAGGUGCAGUUCAGGGCCAAUCCUGCCUCUUGUACCUGCCACAUGCAGUCAGUUCACAACCUGUAUGUGUUACACAUGCCGUGUGCCUGUGCUGUUUGGGGGUGACACCUGUGCAUGUCUGUCUGAAAUGCAGUUUGUCUUUCACAUCACCUUGCUGCUGCUGAAAUGCACCACCCAGCACCUUUAUGUGUUCACAUAUUCAACAAUCAUCGAUGAAGGUAUUAAUAUGGAAACUCUCUUGACUGCCAGCUAUGAUUUGUAUUUCUGCAGGUGUUGGCAAAGUCAUGCACACCAACCUUGUAGUGGCAUUUGUCUUUUA